UAGUUCCUACGGGACGCAGCAGUGAGGAAUAUUGGUCAAUGGACGCAAGUCUGAACCAGCCAAGUAGCGUGCAGGAUGACGGCCCUCCGGGUUGUAAACUGCUUUUAGUUGGGAAUAAAAGGGGGCUCGUGAGCCCCGUAUUGUAUGUACCAUCAGAAAAAGGACCGGCUAAUUCCGUGCCAGCAGCCGCGGUAAUACGGAAGGUCCGGGCGUUAUCCGUAUUUAUUGGGUUUAAAGGGAGCGUAGGCCGGCUUUUAAGUCAGCUGUGAAAGUCCGCGGCUCACCCGCGGCAUUG
RNAcentral lists this ribosomal RNA (295 nucleotides) under uncultured bacterium. Its description in RNAcentral is "partial 16S ribosomal RNA". It matches the Rfam family "Bacterial small subunit ribosomal RNA", at positions 333 to 623 of the family's 1533-position model. The record is from RNAcentral.